This 253-nucleotide ribosomal RNA is filed under the name uncultured bacterium. RNAcentral's name for it is "partial 16S ribosomal RNA". It matches the Rfam family "Bacterial small subunit ribosomal RNA", at positions 524 to 776 of the family's 1533-position model. The record is from RNAcentral.
UACGGGGGGUGCAAGCGUUGUCCGGAAUCAUUGGGCGUAAAGAGUUCGUAGGCGGCACGUAAAGUCUGGUGUUAAAGGCAGAGGCUCAACUUCUGUACGGCACUGGAUACUUGCGAGCUAGAAUGCGGUAGAGGUAAAGGGAAUUCCUGGUGUAGCGGUGAAAUGCUUAGAUAUCACGCAGAACGCCGAUUGCGAAGGCAGCAUACCGGCGCCCAACUGACGCUGAGGCUCGAAAGCGUGGGGAGCAAACAGG